This 405-nucleotide ribosomal RNA is filed under the name uncultured bacterium. Its description in RNAcentral is "partial 16S ribosomal RNA". It matches the Rfam family "Bacterial small subunit ribosomal RNA", at positions 28 to 526 of the family's 1533-position model. The record is from RNAcentral.
GACGAACGCUGGCGGCGUGCUUAACACAUGCAAGUCGAGCGGCGCGGCGAACGGGUGAGUAACGCGUGAGUAACUGCCCCCCUCUCUGGGAUAACAGUUGGAAACGGCUGCUAAUACAGGAUAGUGGGGGAUGACUCGCGUCCUAUCAGCUUGUUGGUGGGGUAGUGGCCUACCAAGGCGACGACGGGUAGCCGGCCUGGGGGGGCGACCGGCCACACUGGUCUGCGAUACGGCCCAAACUCGUACGGGGGGCAGUGGGGGGGAGUAUUGCGCAGUGGGGGAAACCCUGUGGAAGAGACGCCGCGUGCGGGAUGACGUCCUUGGGGUUGUAAACCGCUUUCAGCCAUGACGCGGUAGUGGCAGAAGAAGCACCGGCUAACUACGUGCCAGCAGCCGCGGUAAUUC